Molecule: ribosomal RNA, 440 nt
Filed under: uncultured bacterium
Lineage: Bacteria
Description: partial 16S ribosomal RNA
Rfam family: Bacterial small subunit ribosomal RNA
Source: RNAcentral
CCUACGGGGGGCAGCAGUGGGGAAUAUUGCACAAUGGGCGGAAGCCUGAUGCAGCAACGCCGCGUGCGGGCUGAAGGCCUUCGGGUUGUAAACCUCUUUCAGCUAUGACGAAUGUGCCGGUAUUAGCAGAAGAAGCACCGUCUAACUCCGUGCCAGCAGCCGCGGUGAUACGUAGGGUGCGAGCGUUGUCCGGAUUUAUUGGGCGUAAAGAGCUCGUAGGUGGUUGUUUGCGUCGGAAGUGAAAACCUAGCGCGUAACGGUGGGCGUGCUUUCGAUACGGGAUGACUUGAGGGAGGUAGGGGAGAACGGAAUUCCUGGUGGAGCGGUGGAAUGCGCAGAUAUCAGGAGGAACACCGGUGGCGAAGGCGGUUCUCUGGACCUUUCCUGACGCUGAGGAGCGAAAGCGUGGGGAGCAAACAGGAUUAGAUACCCUAGUAGUC